GCCUAACACAUGCAAGUCGAGCGGAGAUACAUGUCUAAGAGAUUCGGUCGAAUUAAUGUAUCUUAGCGCGGAUGGGUGAGGAACGCGUGGAGAACCUGCCUUCACAGGGGGAUAACAGCUGGAAACGGCUGUUAAUACCGCAUAUGCUCACAGGAUCGCAUGAUCCAGGGAGGAAAGCCGAGACGGUGAAGGAUGGCUCCGCGUCGGAUUAGCCAGUUGGCGGGGUAACGGCCCACCAAAGCGAUGAUCCGUAGCCGGCCUGAGAGGGCGACCGGCCACAUUGGGACUGAGACACGGCCCAAACUCCUACGGGAGGCAGCAGUGGGGGAUAUUGCACAAUGGGGGGAACCCUGAUGCAGCCGACGCCGCGUGAAGGAGGAAGUGCUUCGGCAUGUAAACUUCUAUCAGCAGGGAAGAAGAUGACGGUACCUGACUAAGAAGCCCCGGCUAACUACGUGCCAGCCGCUGC
Molecule: ribosomal RNA, 469 nt
Filed under: uncultured bacterium
Lineage: Bacteria
Description: bacterial SSU rRNA
Rfam family: Bacterial small subunit ribosomal RNA
Source: RNAcentral